Molecule: ribosomal RNA, 2901 nt
Filed under: Escherichia coli
Lineage: Bacteria; Pseudomonadati; Pseudomonadota; Gammaproteobacteria; Enterobacterales; Enterobacteriaceae
Description: bacterial LSU rRNA
Rfam family: Bacterial large subunit ribosomal RNA
Source: RNAcentral
UUAAGCGACUAAGCGUACACGGUGGAUGCCCUGGCAGUCAGAGGCGAUGAAGGACGUGCUAAUCUGCGAUAAGCGUCGGUAAGGUGAUAUGAACCGUUAUAACCGGCGAUUUCCGAAUGGGGAAACCCAGUGUGUUUCGACACACUAUCAUUAACUGAAUCCAUAGGUUAAUGAGGCGAACCGGGGGAACUGAAACAUCUAAGUACCCCGAGGAAAAGAAAUCAACCGAGAUUCCCCCAGUAGCGGCGAGCGAACGGGGAGCAGCCCAGAGCCUGAAUCAGUGUGUGUGUUAGUGGAAGCGUCUGGAAAGGCGCGCGAUACAGGGUGACAGCCCCGUACACAAAAAUGCACAUGCUGUGAGCUCGAUGAGUAGGGCGGGACACGUGGUAUCCUGUCUGAAUAUGGGGGGACCAUCCUCCAAGGCUAAAUACUCCUGACUGACCGAUAGUGAACCAGUACCGUGAGGGAAAGGCGAAAAGAACCCCGGCGAGGGGAGUGAAAAAGAACCUGAAACCGUGUACGUACAAGCAGUGGGAGCCUCUUUAUGGGGUGACUGCGUACCUUUUGUAUAAUGGGUCAGCGACUUAUAUUCUGUAGCAAGGUUAACCGAAUAGGGGAGCCGAAGGGAAACCGAGUCUUAACUGGGCGUUAAGUUGCAGGGUAUAGACCCGAAACCCGGUGAUCUAGCCAUGGGCAGGUUGAAGGUUGGGUAACACUAACUGGAGGACCGAACCGACUAAUGUUGAAAAAUUAGCGGAUGACUUGUGGCUGGGGGUGAAAGGCCAAUCAAACCGGGAGAUAGCUGGUUCUCCCCGAAAGCUAUUUAGGUAGCGCCUCGUGAAUUCAUCUCCGGGGGUAGAGCACUGUUUCGGCAAGGGGGUCAUCCCGACUUACCAACCCGAUGCAAACUGCGAAUACCGGAGAAUGUUAUCACGGGAGACACACGGCGGGUGCUAACGUCCGUCGUGAAGAGGGAAACAACCCAGACCGCCAGCUAAGGUCCCAAAGUCAUGGUUAAGUGGGAAACGAUGUGGGAAGGCCCAGACAGCCAGGAUGUUGGCUUAGAAGCAGCCAUCAUUUAAAGAAAGCGUAAUAGCUCACUGGUCGAGUCGGCCUGCGCGGAAGAUGUAACGGGGCUAAACCAUGCACCGAAGCUGCGGCAGCGACGCUUAUGCGUUGUUGGGUAGGGGAGCGUUCUGUAAGCCUGUGAAGGUGUGCUGUGAGGCAUGCUGGAGGUAUCAGAAGUGCGAAUGCUGACAUAAGUAACGAUAAAGCGGGUGAAAAGCCCGCUCGCCGGAAGACCAAGGGUUCCUGUCCAACGUUAAUCGGGGCAGGGUGAGUCGACCCCUAAGGCGAGGCCGAAAGGCGUAGUCGAUGGGAAACAGGUUAAUAUUCCUGUACUUGGUGUUACUGCGAAGGGGGGACGGAGAAGGCUAUGUUGGCCGGGCGACGGUUGUCCCGGUUUAAGCGUGUAGGCUGGUUUUCCAGGCAAAUCCGGAAAAUCAAGGCUGAGGCGUGAUGACGAGGCACUACGGUGCUGAAGCAACAAAUGCCCUGCUUCCAGGAAAAGCCUCUAAGCAUCAGGUAACAUCAAAUCGUACCCCAAACCGACACAGGUGGUCAGGUAGAGAAUACCAAGGCGCUUGAGAGAACUCGGGUGAAGGAACUAGGCAAAAUGGUGCCGUAACUUCGGGAGAAGGCACGCUGAUAUGUAGGUGAAGUCCCUUGCGGAUGGAGCUGAAAUCAGUCGAAGAUACCAGCUGGCUGCAACUGUUUAUUAAAAACACAGCACUGUGCAAACACGAAAGUGGACGUAUACGGUGUGACGCCUGCCCGGUGCCGGAAGGUUAAUUGAUGGGGUCAGCGCAAGCGAAGCUCUUGAUCGAAGCCCCGGUAAACGGCGGCCGUAACUAUAACGGUCCUAAGGUAGCGAAAUUCCUUGUCGGGUAAGUUCCGACCUGCACGAAUGGCGUAAUGAUGGCCAGGCUGUCUCCACCCGAGACUCAGUGAAAUUGAACUCGCUGUGAAGAUGCAGUGUACCCGCGGCAAGACGGAAAGACCCCGUGAACCUUUACUAUAGCUUGACACUGAACAUUGAGCCUUGAUGUGUAGGAUAGGUGGGAGGCUUUGAAGUGUGGACGCCAGUCUGCAUGGAGCCGACCUUGAAAUACCACCCUUUAAUGUUUGAUGUUCUAACGUGGACCCGUGAUCCGGGUUGCGGACAGUGUCUGGUGGGUAGUUUGACUGGGGCGGUCUCCUCCUAAAGAGUAACGGAGGAGCACGAAGGUUGGCUAAUCCUGGUCGGACAUCAGGAGGUUAGUGCAAUGGCAUAAGCCAGCUUGACUGCGAGCGUGACGGCGCGAGCAGGUGCGAAAGCAGGUCAUAGUGAUCCGGUGGUUCUGAAUGGAAGGGCCAUCGCUCAACGGAUAAAAGGUACUCCGGGGAUAACAGGCUGAUACCGCCCAAGAGUUCAUAUCGACGGCGGUGUUUGGCACCUCGAUGUCGGCUCAUCACAUCCUGGGGCUGAAGUAGGUCCCAAGGGUAUGGCUGUUCGCCAUUUAAAGUGGUACGCGAGCUGGGUUUAGAACGUCGUGAGACAGUUCGGUCCCUAUCUGCCGUGGGCGCUGGAGAACUGAGGGGGGCUGCUCCUAGUACGAGAGGACCGGAGUGGACGCAUCACUGGUGUUCGGGUUGUCAUGCCAAUGGCACUGCCCGGUAGCUAAAUGCGGAAGAGAUAAGUGCUGAAAGCAUCUAAGCACGAAACUUGCCCCGAGAUGAGUUCUCCCUGACCCUUUAAGGGUCCUGAAGGAACGUUGAAGACGACGACGUUGAUAGGCCGGGUGUGUAAGCGCAGCGAUGCGUUGAGCUAACCGGUACUAAUGAACCGUGAGGCUUAACCUU